Molecule: ribosomal RNA, 406 nt
Filed under: uncultured bacterium
Lineage: Bacteria
Description: partial 16S ribosomal RNA
Rfam family: Bacterial small subunit ribosomal RNA
Source: RNAcentral
AUUGAACGCUGGCGGCAGGCCUAACACAUGCAAGUCGAACGAGUGGCGGACGGGUGAGUAAUGUAUGGGAAACUGCCUGAUGGAGGGGGAUAACUACUGGAAACGGUAGCUAAUACCGCAUACCAUCGGAUGUGCCCAGAUGGGAUUAGCUAGUAGGUGGGGUAAAGGCUCACCUAGGCGACGAUCCCUAGCUGGUCUGAGAGGAUGACCAGCCACACUGGAACUGCGACACGGGCCAGACUCCUACGGGAGGCAGCAGUGGGGAAUAUUGCACAAUGGGCGCAAGCCUGAUGCAGCCAUGCCGCGUGUAUGAAGAAGGCCUUCGGGUUGUAAAGUACUUUCAGCGGGGAGGCGGUAGCCGCAGAAGAAGCACCGACUAACUCCGUGCCAGCAGCCGCGGUAAUUG